AUUGAAAAUUGAUGAAAAUGAUAUGAAACAGACAACUGAAGCAGUGAAGCUAAACCAGAAUAUCAUCAGCAAGAGUCCAAACAAAAUGAACACUGCAGAUGAUUCUACAUCACAAACAAACAGUGUUCAAAAGGGAUUAAGUUUGUGAUUACAUUUUUGCCCUGAAUCCCUGGGUAUAUAAGCGAUAUCUCCAUCACUUUCUCAAUUCCAGUAGUCUCCAUCGAUAUCAAUGCCUGUUGUUAGGCAAUUUCAAGCUUAUCCAUCACAAUCAGUCUGAACAAAAGCUUGCUCAAAACUUGAAGCAAGGUCACCAAGUUGCAGGCUCUCGCUCUCACACGAAGUAUCAAUAAGUUUCGUUUUAUUAGCUUAUUUGCCAGAUUUGGGGAAUAGUUUUCAGCAAGAAAAGAGAAAAGGAAGAAGGCAAAUCAGUUUCAUCUCCUAAUUCAAAAGAUUUAGAACAUCAAAUUAAGUUAUAGGUGUUCUUCAGAUUAAGUUUCAGAUCACAACCCUUGCCAAUGCAAUUGAAGAGAUGUUAGAUUGCUCAAAAGUCAUUGGUAGAAGACUCAUCGAAGCAGCUAAAAUAACAGCUGACCUAAGUGGGGCAAUAGCCCUCACCCGAUGAUAGAAUUUCCAUCACCUGAAGCUUUAAAACAUCGGACCCACCAAAAGUUGGCAAAGGUAAUGACAAGGAUUCAUCUGAAAAAUUGGAAAAGGAGUGACAGUGGUAGAGAAACUGAGAACAAAACUGCAGCUCAUCAAACCUAUCCAGCACGAACUUUGAAGCACCCAAGUGGCCAAGUAUGUGCAACAUAAAAAAAGUUACGCUAGAAGAACAUAGAAUGGUUUCAAACAGGCUCUAUAGGUCGGUGAAAAAGUUCACACAGAGGAACAUUCUAAGGAUUUACCCCAAAGAAACUUAAAGUUGCCUCCUCAAAUUACCAACCACAUAUUGAAUGGAUGCAUGGAGCUCAAAUGGUUGUGUCUAAUGUGCAGGGAUGUGAUAACUCACGAUGGUUCAUGCAUGGGAUGUUUAGAGCCAAUGAUGAGGCCCUGCCUUCUUUAUGCACAAGGGCUCAAAUGAUGAGAUUUUUUAUCCUAAAAAGACCUUGGUAGUGACAAAGACAUUGAAGGUGAAAGCAUUUAUGGCCAAUGGAUGUCACUUGGAUUUUAAUCAAACCCCCUUUGAUUCGUUCUCCCCACAGACUUCUACACAAAAGUUAGUAAGAGCUCUGAUCACGUCAUAUGCAACUGGUUGUUUAUAGCUCAGCUGAAAUUUCGGAGGACUUAUCAUUUGUUGCAAAUGACGAAUCAAACUUUGUACAUAAACACCUACUGUUGUGAGGAUAUAAUAUAUAAUGUAACAAUGUAAUAUAACAAUGUUUCUAAAUUUAGUAGUUACGAUAUAAUAUAUAAUUUAACAAUGUAAUAUAACAAUGUUUCUAAAUUCAGUAGCAUCGAAUCAAACAAUAUUCCCGCAGCAUCGCGCGGGUGCAUUUUCUA
Long non-coding RNA from Rosa chinensis, 1500 nucleotides. RefSeq lists it as uncharacterized. Lineage: Eukaryota; Viridiplantae; Streptophyta; Magnoliopsida; Rosales; Rosaceae. The record is from RefSeq and is a predicted model, not a curated record. The transcript is spliced from 11 exons.